RNAcentral lists this ribosomal RNA (729 nucleotides) under Triticum aestivum (bread wheat). RNAcentral describes it as "partial small subunit ribosomal RNA". Lineage: Eukaryota; Viridiplantae; Streptophyta; Magnoliopsida; Poales; Poaceae. The record is from RNAcentral.
AUGCAGCGUGAGACAACACCAAGAAAAUGCUGCGUUAGGGUGUCCGCGGAGGUGGUCCGUGGGAGGGCGGCCGCUCUCGGGAGCGGGCGAAGCAAGCGUGGUGCAGGGAGCUCUCGGCAGCGGGCGAAGCAAGCGUGGUGCAGGGAGCUCUCGGCAGCGGGCGAAGGAAGCGGCUCGUCGGCCGAUUCGCUCCGGCACGCCGCGGGCGAAGGAAUCGGCUGGAGGAGGGGCAGCGAGCGGUGGUCAGCCGCGGCAGUCGACUGGCGUGCGGCUGGAGGAGGGAUUUGGCCGCAGCGGCGCAUUAGGCGGCGGUGCCGUGCAGCCGUGCUGGCCAGGGCAGGCUGCAGCAGUGCGUCAACGGAAGACAUGGAUUUUCGAAAGCAUCAACCUUCUGCUAGUGCAACCUCUAUUAGUAUGGUCCACCUGGAUUUUCCCAGCCAAAUUCUUGAGGACAUUGAUUCUGUGAAUCAAGUGAUGUCAGCAGAUUUUCCAUCGGAGGCUCCUAUUGAUAUUGAUAUGAGGGAACUUUACUUUCUCAUUAUGCAUUUUUUAUCACAUGGUCCAUUUAAGCGGGCCGCUGGAGAGCUCUGCAAUGAUCUUCUGGAGCAUCAGUUGUUACCUAGAAGAUAUCAUGCUUGGUAUUCACGUGGUGGUUUUCAUAGCGGCGAAGAAAAUGAUGAUGGUGUAUCGCUCCCUUUGGGUUACCUAAAGCUAGUUGAGAGGUUCUAA